GUAGAUUUUGCCCAUUCUAGAACUUUAUAUAAAUGGGAUUAUGCAAUAUGCAUUCUUUUUUUUUUCUUUCUUUCUUUUUUUUUUUUUUUUUUUUUUUUUUGAGGGACUCAGCUGCUGCAUAUGGAAGUUCCCAGGCAAGGGGUCAGAUCAGAGCUGCAACUGCCUGCCUAUGCCAUAGUCACAGCAACAUCAGAUCCAGGCCAAGUCUGUGACCACACCACAGCUCAUGGGCAAUGCCAGAUCCAUAAACCACUGAGUGAGGCCAGGGAGCAAACCUGUGUCCUGAUGGAUACUAGUCAAAUUUGUUACCACUGAGCCACAAUGGGAACUCUAUGCAAUAUGUACCCUUGUGAGACUUCUUUCACUCAGCAUAAUGUUUUCAAGAUUCUCCCAUAAUAUUAUAUGUAACAAUAAGGUGUUCCUUUUAUUGCUGAUCAGUAUUCAUUUAUAUAAAUAUGGCACUGUUUGCUUAUCCAUUCUUUAAUUGGUGGACACCUGGCUAUUUCUACUUUUUGGUUAAAAUGAACAAGGCUGCUAUGAAUAUUCUUAUAAAAGUCUUUUCCAGGUGUGUGUUUUCCUUCUCUUUGGUCAAUGACAAGUUGCAGAUCUUCUGGGUCUUAGGUUAAGUAUAUGUUCAGUUUUGUAAGAAACUGACCAGCCCUUUCCCCCAUUUUUCCUCUUUAAGAGGUUGUACAUUUUCUACUACCACCAACAAGAAAUAAUAGCUGUUCACCCUUGCCAGCAUAUGGCAUUGUCAAUCUUUUUAAUUUUAGCCAUUUGGGUGGGUGUGUCGUGGUAUCUUGUGAGAAAAUGGAUUUUUAAAAGAUUUAAAAUUAUCUGAAACUAAGUGAGACAUUUUUGGGCUACCAAAUUUUUCAGGGAAGUUACAUUUCUAAUUGUAUUAUUUUUGGAUGUGUUGAGCUAGAGAGUUAAGAGGGGAAAAAACCCAUGUUCUGUCAAUGUCAAAAGCAUUAAGAAAAUAAUAUAGCUGCUAUUGUAUACUUAUGUUCCAAGAACACUCUUCUAAGCUCUUUACACACAUAAACUCUCAGUAACUAGCAUGUAUUGAGAGAUUACUAUUUGCUAAGCACCUAGCACUUUACUUGAUAAAACUUAAACCUUCUCUACAACUUUGCCAAGUCAGUACUGAAUGCCAUUUUUCAAAGAUAAAGAAUCUGGCUGGCCCAAGACCAGUAACUGCGAGGUCUAGGAUCAGAACUCACAUCAAGACCCAUGCUUGGGGCUUGACCCUGCCCUACCUCACUGUGUCUGAGGGGUCACCUCGAGACGGAUGACAUUGUGCUUGGAUCUUUCUCUGCUCAAAUUUCCAAGCUUCUUUAAAGUUUCCAUCUGAGCAAACUGUAAGGCAGGGGUACCGCUUUUGCUGGCUCAGCAUGCGGCCGGAGAGAGGAAACAAAAUUUCUGUGACCUAAGAAGCAAAUCUCCCUUAAGGCAAGACAUUUCUGGCUAUUUCAAUUUCAUUCACUUAGCAACUUCUGAGACUCAAUCUCCUGUUCCUUCUCUGGAAGUCAGACUCAAAGCCUAAUUGAGACGUACGUCUCCUGCCAUCAGCUUCAGGCCCUAUGCUGACUAAUGUCUGCCCCAGAGGAUAAUUAAGCAACCCGGCACUUGAGACAGCACAGCUAGGCUCACACGGGUGGCAGGAGGGCUCACUGGUUAGGACAAUCUAUUUUGGAGUCAGAGGGACCUGCAUCCGACUCUUGACUCUUAUCAUAUUCCAGCUGUGAACUUCCGGUAACUUGUGUUAUCUUGCUGAGCCUCACUUUCUGUGGCUCACUUUCUGCAUCUGGAAAAUGGGCAUAAUAAUCUCAAUACAUACAUCACAGAGUGCUUCUAAGAUUAACUGCAGUAAUGACUAAAAUAGUCAUCACACUUCAUGACCUAGAGCUCAAGAAAUGUUGAAUAAUACUAUCCUGAUUGUCUAAUAGUGUCUGUCUUCACUAGAGAUUAUUAACAAAAGAAAAUGAAUGUUACUAGUGAGUGGGUCUAGGUUAGAAAAAGAGAACUGUGAUUUAAUCCAAACCAACUAAAUGCUGCACUAACUACAUUCAUAGUUGCAGUGAUUCUGGGAGGAGGGAUUAAGAGUUGCACUUUACAGAUGAGGGAAAGUAAGUCACAAAGUGGUUAAAUAACAUUACCAAAGGCGAUGAGGGGUCAGAGUCAGGAUCACCAAUAGAAGAGAAAAAAAAAAUGACUGCAUCAAAAACUACCCUAGGCAGAUGCUGUAUCAGGCGGUCCAUGGCCACUGGAAAUGCUAGGAACUAACACUGUUUAAUUUGGUGGGUGGAACAGGAAGCUUGAAACAGAUCGCAGAUGGAGCAUAAGAAAGAUGUAGAAAGCAAAACGAUGAGCUCGGUCAUUUAAAGAUCUUCUUUUAAUUUUGGGUUUCAUAUCUUUCCUGAAGGGUGACCUUGGGAACAGUUACUGAAUCAUGCUGAACCUUGGUCUUCAUAUCUGGAAAGUGGACCCAUCUGGGCAGGAUCCCAAAGAAAACUAUGUUCUGAAAUUUAAAGCCCUGUCGGCAGGGUAUUCCAAAGAAGACAGCAACCCUUGAAUCAAUAAUCAGGCUUGAGAAUGAAAGGCUUGCACAGUUAUAAUUCACGCUUGCCAUUUGAGCUGCCAUCGGUGACCACUGGCUGGAGGCUGGGCCUCAGUCACAUUUAACUCAGCCUCUUCUUUGAGUGGAUCCAUCCCCUUGCUUCUCUCAGUCCAAGCCACCAUCAGUUCGUGCCCAGGUCCCCAUCAGUCUUCCUGCUUUUCCCUUUGCCUCUUCGUCCCACUUCGAUCCUUGUGGCUUUUAAACAUAUAAAGUAAAUCCUGUCACUCAUCUGCUGGGAACCUAUUAGUGGCUUCCAGUUGCUUUAAUUAUUAAAUCCAAACUCUUUUUAAAUAAAGUAUAGUUGAUUUACAAGGUUCCUUCAAUUUCUGCUCUAUAGCAAAGUGACCCAGUCUCAUAUAUAUGUAUAUAUAUAUAUAUUCUUUUUUUUAUACUAUCUUUAAUCAUGUUCUAACCCAAGAGAUUGGACAUAGUUCCCUGUGCCGUACAGUAGGACUUCAUUGCUUAUCCAUUCUAAAUGUAACAGUUUGCAACAACUCACUCCCAAUCUCCCCAUCCACCCAACUCCCCCACCCCCAAACACAAAACUACAAGUCUGUUUUCCAUGUCUGCGAUCUGUUUCUACUUUGUGAUAGAAUCAUUUGUCAUAUUUUAGACUCCACUUCUAAGUGACAUCAUAUGGUAUUUGUCUCUUUCUGAGUUAUUUCACUUAGUUUGAGAGUCUCCAGUUGCAUCCAUGCUGCUGUAAAUGGCAUUAUUUUGUCCUGUUUAUGGCUGGGUAGUAUUCCAUUGUGUACAUGUGCCCCAUCUUCUUGAUCCAUUCAUCUGUCAAUGGACAUUUGGGUUUUUUCCAUGCCUUGGCUAUUGUGAAUGGUGGUGUGAAAUAUCCAAACUCUUUAAAAGGCCUGAAAUACCAUCAUGUUUGGGGCCCUGUGGACCCCACCAAUUUCAUCUGAUACCUUCCCUCUGCCACUGAUUCUCUUUGCUCCAACCACACUGGCCUCCUUCUCUUUGUGACUGAGCCAGGCUGUCUCAACCUCAGGGCCUUUGCACCAGCUCUUCCUUCUGUCCAUGGUCCGUGAUACACUCCUGCUAAAUUUUCACAUGGCUACCUCUUCUCUCUGUCAGUCUUGGCCAAAUAUCUUCUUCUCAGAAAGGGUCUCUGAAUCAUGCUAAUUAGCCCCCAAUUAACUCCAUCACCUGGACUCAUUUCCUCAUGGUCACUAUGGGACACUGGGGUUAGUCGGUUUUCCUUUUACUUUCUAAUGACUGCCCCACCUGACUACAGUGUAAGUUCCAGGAGAGCAGAGGCCUUGUUUUGUGUAUUUCUGUAUUCCUAUGCUUAAAAUCAGGCCUGGCUCACAGUUGGCACUUGGACAAUAUCUAUAGAAGGUGCAAAUAAAUACCACUAGUCUUGGAACUGUGUGAUGGGGGUGGGAGCCAGCCACACAAGGAAGGAGCCCAUCGUUUCUCUCCUGGCUGAUCUUUCUCUCCAUUGCUGGGGAUGGGGGGAUGGGGAUGAGGGGUGGCCUGAAAUCAAUUUAAUCAGCUAUGCCUGCCAGUCCAAUCCAGCCUGGAGCCUCUUGGCUAGCAUCUCAUUAGUACUAGAGGACAAAGAGCAAGACUGUGCUUGUGAGAGGAUGUGGAGAAUGAGCUAAAGCUGCAUGGCCCUAAUAGGCCAUCAGAGACUAUAGCAACUGCAGUGGCCCCUGUGAAUCUGGAUACCAAGGGAGGCAGGUGGGGAUGCAGAGAGGAGGCUGGAGGGAGGAGAUGGGAGCUGAUCUAGAGAAAUAGCCAGGCAAGGGCCAGCACUCAGAGGUGGAGUUUUUAUAAGUCCCCUGGCCAAUUAAAGUGCUCUAAGUAAAACUGCAUCCCCAACCUAUAACACCAACAGCUUCAAAGCUGCUGCUAAUCAUGCAAAAGUACCCAGACCAGGUCAAUGGGCUGAGGAAGUCAAAUCUUCCUUCCCUGCUUCUCCGUAGCCACUCCUUACUGGCUUCUUGGGUUGCUAAACUCAUGGAGUAGACCCUGCAAUUCCCAGUCUGAUAAACUUCCAGUGCAUCCUUCUCUCUUGGGAAAAGGAGGACACCAAGCCCCUCCCUACUGCUGGCAUGCCUCAAGGUCAGCUGUUUCAUUGGCCAUGAACAUGUGCAUGACAUUGCCCACGGGCAGAGAUGGGUUUCUGUUCAGAUGGUCCCAAAGCAAGAGCCAGCUAACUGUGCCAUGUCCAGAGAAUAUUAUGGGCCUCUGUCUGUGACUAAGCAGAAUUAAUCAGCUCAUCCUACCAUGGAAAUCCCUUUUCAUGUGAUGUGCAGGAUUUAGACUUAGAAGUAUUUGAUAGGGUUCCUGUUGUGGCGCAGUGGAAAUGAAGCUAUUAUCCAAGAGGUUGCAGGUUCGAUUCCUGGCCUUGCUCAGUGAGUUAAGGAUCUGGUAUUUCCAUGAGCUCUGCUGAAGGUCGCAGAUGUGGCUCAGAUCUGGCAUUGCUGUGGCUAUGGCACAGGCCAGCAGCUACAGCUCCAGUUUGACCCCUGGCCUGGGAACCUCCAUAUGCCACAUUGUGGCCCUGAAAAGACAAAAAACAAACAAACAAACAAACAGCAAGAAGAAGUAUUUGGACUUCACCCCUUGCUAGCUGCGUAACUCUGGGCCAGCACAGGAUGCUUCUAAACUUCCCUUGCUUCUUCCUGUACAACCAGGAUAAGGACACUUCAAACACCUGCUUUCUGUGAUGGCUAUGAGAUGGGAAGUGUCCUGUUAUUGAACAUACCACAUUUCUCCAGAGAUGUCUGUUCUCAAGUCUGUCUUCUCUGUUGGAUUAUGAGCUUCUUGAGGACAACUGCAAUUUCUCAGGACAGCAGGUGAAAUGUGAGUCAUGCUGAGUACAGGGAAUUAAAUGAAUGUGAAAUACAUUUAUAAUUGGGACCAAUUUCCAGCCAGUAAGUGUUGAUAGGAUCAUAUUCUCUCUUACGGUAUUGAAGUAUUUCCAUACUGUUCCACAGACAUUGACCCAAGCUCACAGUCGCCUCAGUGGCACUGGGGCAGCCUCCUUCCAGGAGGAGUGACUAAAUGGUUAACACCUGCCUCCCAGGUGGGGACGGGCUAGGUCCCUGCUCUGGCACUUCCGGCUUCCAUUUGUUUGCUCAGUUUGAUUCCCUAGACUUGCUCAGUGUGUUAAAGAUCCUCUGUUGCC
This 5768-nucleotide long non-coding RNA is filed under the name Sus scrofa (pig). RNAcentral's name for it is "lncRNA (ENSSSCG00030017652.1)". The record is from RNAcentral. Lineage: Eukaryota; Metazoa; Chordata; Mammalia; Artiodactyla; Suidae.